Molecule: non-coding RNA, 77 nt
Organism: Delitschia confertaspora ATCC 74209
Lineage: Eukaryota; Fungi; Ascomycota; Dothideomycetes; Pleosporales; Delitschiaceae
Source: the annotation of a GenBank genome assembly
GACGCUGUGGAGUAGUGGCUAGCACAUUUGUUGCCUAGUCACCAACAAACACUCAGGUUCGAUUCCUAACAUCGACC